GACGAACGCUGGCGGCGUGCUUAACACAUGCAAGUCGAACGGAAAGGCCCUGCUUUUGUGGGGUGCUCGAGUGGCGAACGGGUGAGUAACACGUGAGUAACCUGCCCUUGACUUUGGGAUAACUUCAGGAAACUGGGGCUAAUACCGGAUAGGAGCUCCUGCUGCAUGGUGGGGGUUGGAAAGUUUCGGCGGUUGGGGAUGGACUCGCGGCUUAUCAGCUUGUUGGUGGGGUAGUGGCUUACCAAGGCUUUGACGGGUAGCCGGCCUGAGAGGGUGACCGGCCACACUGGGACUGAGAUACGGCCCAGACUCCUACGGGAGGCAGCAGUGGGGAGUAUUGCACAAUGGGCGGAAGCCUGGUGCAGCAACGCCGCGUGCGGGAUGACGGCCUUCGGGUUGUAAACCGCUUUCGCCUGUGACGAAGCGUGAGUGACGGUAAUGGGUAAAGAAGCACCGGCUAACUACGUG
This 468-nucleotide ribosomal RNA is filed under the name uncultured bacterium. RNAcentral describes it as "partial 16S ribosomal RNA". It matches the Rfam family "Bacterial small subunit ribosomal RNA", at positions 28 to 507 of the family's 1533-position model. The record is from RNAcentral.